RNAcentral lists this non-coding RNA (26 nucleotides) under Homo sapiens (human). The record is from RNAcentral. Lineage: Eukaryota; Metazoa; Chordata; Mammalia; Primates; Hominidae.
UGCACGAUCUUGCACACCUCCUUGUC